UACAGAGGGUGCGAGCGUUAAUCGGAAUUACUGGGCGUAAAGCGCACGUUGGCGGCUUGGUAUGUCGGGUGUGAAAUCCCCGGGCUCAACCUGGGAACUGCAUCCGAAACUGCCUUGCUCGAGUAUGGGAGAGGGAAGUGGAAUUUCCGGUGUAGCGGUGAAAUGCGUAGAUAUCGGAAGGAACAUCAGUGGCGAAGGCGACUUCCUGGACCAAUACUGACGCUCAGGUGCGAAAGCGUGGGGAGCAAACAGG
This 253-nucleotide ribosomal RNA is filed under the name uncultured bacterium. RNAcentral's name for it is "partial 16S ribosomal RNA". It matches the Rfam family "Bacterial small subunit ribosomal RNA", at positions 524 to 776 of the family's 1533-position model. The record is from RNAcentral.